This is a non-coding RNA of Candidatus Burkholderia humilis, 106 nucleotides long. NCBI's taxonomy places the organism in Bacteria, Pseudomonadati, Pseudomonadota, Betaproteobacteria, Burkholderiales, Burkholderiaceae. The record is from Rfam.
UUAUCGGUGCAAAUUCGACCCGGCUAACUCUCGCUCCGGCCGGAAGCACAAGGAGCGGUCCAGGAGGCAACGAGUGGGCUGAAGCACUUCUUGAGUCCAAUCGUUA